AGUCCCAGGGUGAAGGGAGGCAGCUUCAGUCCUGGGGCCAACAGCACAUCCGAGGAAAUCAGGGCCCCUGGAACACAGCCUGCAGGACUGGGGGCACAUCUGCUGCCCAAUCCAGAGCUUGACUGCUCCUGGAGAGAAAGGAUAACAAACAGCACUUCCCCACGGCAGAUGCUUCACAGUCCAAGACUCGGGGCCUUGAAUGAUCCAGGAAGGCCACUGAGAUUUCCACUUUAUCUACUGUUCCUUGUGCACAUACUUACCAUAAAUCAAAACAGCCUCUGUGUUGUCAUCCUUCAAUAUUCAACACAUCACAUUGGAGUUGCCCUUUCCCUACAGAAUAUAAGCUCUGGGUCUGGGGGCUAAUGGUGUGGGGAUCCACCAUCUUGUCUUGCCACCACCUGAGACACAGACGUGGCUUCUAUUCGUAUGUCCCUAUUAACUGUUUUUCUCUGAGAA
Molecule: non-coding RNA, 456 nt
Filed under: Pongo abelii (Sumatran orangutan)
Lineage: Eukaryota; Metazoa; Chordata; Mammalia; Primates; Hominidae
Source: RNAcentral